RNAcentral lists this non-coding RNA (1012 nucleotides) under Trichomonas vaginalis G3. Its description in RNAcentral is "Eukaryotic small subunit ribosomal RNA". It matches the Rfam family "Eukaryotic small subunit ribosomal RNA", at positions 213 to 1365 of the family's 1831-position model. The record is from Rfam by way of RNAcentral. Lineage: Eukaryota; Parabasalia; Trichomonadida; Trichomonadidae.
GUGGUAAUACAUGCGAUUGUUUUCUCCAGAUGUGAAUUAUGGAGGAAAAGUUGACCUCAUCAGAAGCACGCCAUUCGACUGAGUGACCUAUCAGCUUGUACUUAGGGUCUUUACCUAGGUAGGCUAUCACGGGUAACGGGCGGUUACCGUCGGACUGCCGGAGAAGGCGCCUGAGAGAUAGCGACUAUAUCCACGGGUAGCAGCAGGCGCGAAACUUUCCCACUCGAGACUUUCGGAGGAGGUAAUGACCAGUUCCAUUGGUGCCUUUUGGUACUGUGGAUAGGGGUACGGUUUUCCACCGUACCGAAACCUAGCAGAGGGCCAGUCUGGUGCCAGCAGCUGCGGUAAUUCCAGCUCUGCGAGUUUGCUCCCAUAUUGUUGCAGUUAAAACGCCCGUAGUCUGAAUUGGCCAGCAAUGGUCGUACGUAUUUUUACGUUCACUGUGAACAAAUCAGGACGCUUAGAGUAUGGCCACAUGAAUGACUCAGCGCAGUAUGAAGUCUUUGUUUUCUUCCGAAAACAAGCUCAAUGAGAGCCAUCGGGGGUAGAUCUAUCUCAUGACGAGUGGUGGAAUACUUUGACUCAUGAGAGAGAAGCUGAGGCGAAGGCGUCUACCUAGAGGGUUUCUGUCGAUCAAGGGCGAGAGUAGGAGUAUCCAACAGGAUUAGAGACCCUGGUAGUUCCUACCUUAAACGAUGCCGACAGGAGUUUGUCAUUUGUUAAUGGCAGAAUCUUUGGAGAAAUCAUAGUUCUUGGGCUCUGGGGGAACUACGACCGCAAGGCUGAAACUUGAAGGAAUUGACGGAAGGGCACACCAGGGGUGGAGCCUGUGGCUUAAUUUGAAUCAACACGGGGAAACUUACCAGGACCAGAUGUUUUUUAUGACUGACAGGCUUCGGGUCUUUCAGGAUAUUGUUUUUGGUGGUGCAUGGCCGUUGGUGGUGCGUGGGUUGACCUGUCUAGCGUUGAUUCAGCUAACGAGCGAGAUUAUCGCCAAUUAUUUACUUUGCCG